Mauremys reevesii (Reeves's turtle) is the source of this 745-nucleotide long non-coding RNA. RefSeq lists it as uncharacterized. The transcript has 3 exons. Lineage: Eukaryota; Metazoa; Chordata; Testudines; Geoemydidae. The record is from RefSeq and is a predicted model, not a curated record.
UGUGUGCUGGAAAUAUAUUCUUAAAAUAUGUUUUGGAGGCAGUGCAUAAAUUAAAUCUGCCCUCAAAAAAGGAACAUGGAUUUACCUGGCUGAGUAGCUUGAUUAUAGGCAGAGGACACUGAGGUACAUUUACACAUAAGGUAAUCAAAGCCAUCAAGCUAACAAACUGUGGAGGAAACAAUUUAGUGACAACACUGGUGAUCUGAAUUUGCACCCCCAGGAAGUCUUCUUGGCUCUUGAGACAAAGACAAUGGACUUUGCAGGGGAAAAGAGAGCAAAAAGACAUGCUAGUGAUCCAUCACUUAGGAAAUCAAGGGAGCAGCACCCUCAGAUUCUGUGAACGUUGGAUCCCAGGGCUUGGAGCGGUAGAGUUGCCGAUAUCUUGAUGUAAGUGAGAAAACUGCUCAGGCACAGAUUGCAACUUGCUAAAACUUCAUACCAACUUGGCUACAACAAUGCUGCAAACUCCUAAAUGAGGACAUUUGUCAUGUCCAGAUUCAGCAAAGCACUGAAGCACAUGCUUAAAGCUAACAGAACUUGGGGUAGGGAAUCGAGGAUGGUUCUCUGGCUAGCAGGUGUUCCAGAGCUGCUGGAACAGCAGUGCCUUAUUCAGCCGGAGGUCAUGUAAACCACCAUCAUCCUGAAUCAUCCAGUUGCCCCAGCGAACAUAAUGGUGAAGGAACAAAUGUACCUGGAGCAAUAACUGACCAGUCCAAGCUUGCAAGAUUGUUCUCCGUUAAGCAGA